CAGACUGCUCUCUUGGUCAUUGACAUGCAGAAUGAUUUUAUCCUUGAGGAUGGGUUGAUGAGAGUCGAUGGAGGGAAAGCCAUUGUCCCAAAUGUGAUAAAGGCGGUUGAAAUCGCUAGGCAGCUUGGCAUUCUUGUAGUCUGGGUUGUCCGCGAACAUGAUUCACUCGGAAGAGAUGUGGAACUUUUUCGCCGGCAUUUGUACUCUUUGGGGAAAGUGGGUCCUACCUGUAAGGGAAGCAAGGGUGCAGAACUGGUUGAUGGACUCGUGAUCAAAGAAGGGGAUUAUAAGGUGGUGAAGACACGCUUCAGUGCAUUUUUUAACACCC
RNAcentral lists this unclassified non-coding RNA (328 nucleotides) under Hevea brasiliensis (rubber tree). The record is from RNAcentral. Lineage: Eukaryota; Viridiplantae; Streptophyta; Magnoliopsida; Malpighiales; Euphorbiaceae.